AUGGCUUUUGUAGACAAUUUUGCUACAAGUGAAAUUUGAGGUAUAUUAGUAUACACCUAUAAUGACUAUCUGCUCUAACCUUAAUAUAUGUAUAUUUUUACCAUGUUUUGCCUCACAACCAAUUUAAGAUUAAUAAGUCAGUAUAUAUGUAAGACUCAGAUCGACGUCCAGUCUCUAAUCGACUUCCGUUCCUCAAAUCGACGUCCAAAUCUGACUUCACAAUAAAAUAUCCUUCCAAAUCGACAGCCAAUUUUAUACCUAUCUAAUCGACGUCCAUGUUUUGGCUUCUCUAAUCGACGUCAAAUUUUUAGCUUCUCUAAUCAAGGUCUGUUUUUUGGACACCGAAUACAAAAUUGACCAGAACCGACAGC
This 371-nucleotide long non-coding RNA is filed under the name Mytilus galloprovincialis (Mediterranean mussel). The record is from RNAcentral. Lineage: Eukaryota; Metazoa; Mollusca; Bivalvia; Mytilida; Mytilidae.